RNAcentral lists this ribosomal RNA (253 nucleotides) under uncultured bacterium. RNAcentral describes it as "partial 16S ribosomal RNA". It matches the Rfam family "Bacterial small subunit ribosomal RNA", at positions 524 to 776 of the family's 1533-position model. The record is from RNAcentral.
GACGGAGGAUGCAAGUGUUAUCCGGAAUCACUGGGCGUAAAGCGUCUGUAGGCUGUUUAAUAAGUCAACUGUUAAAUCUUGAGGCUCAACUUCAAAAUCGCAGUCGAAACUAUUAGACUAGAGUAUAGUAGGGGUAAAGGGAAUUUCCAGUGGAGCGGUGAAAUGCGUAGAGAUUGGAAAGAACACCAAUAGCGAAGGCACUUUACUGGGCUAUUACUAACACUCUGAGACGAAAGCUAGGGUAGCAAAUGGG